UUUCUCUGACCAAAUCACUAGUUUUGAUUGGUUAUCCCAGGAAAUAAAUAUGUACCUCAAAUUUACUUAAAGCCAUCUCUUUUUAUAAGCUUGGUGCUUUUAUUGUUACUCUGCAACUCCACCAGGCAGCAGAAAUUACAACCAACGAUUAAUUUCAAUGGCAUUAUUGGCAUCGGAGCACGUGUAGUUUAUUUCUUUUCUCUGAGGUGGUCGUUAUUCCUCAUAGAUUGCUUUUGCGCCAGACCAAUAAGGAGGUCAGCAGUUUCCAAUAAGCGAUUCCUGAGCGCGAGUGCUAAAAAUAACGCAUAUUUAUUUGGCAUUGGGAGAGGACUGGGUCAAUAAGUUUUCCAGAAGUUUAACACCAU
RNAcentral lists this long non-coding RNA (365 nucleotides) under Phoenix dactylifera (date palm). RNAcentral describes it as "long non-coding RNA (PDAC_LNC015060)". Lineage: Eukaryota; Viridiplantae; Streptophyta; Magnoliopsida; Arecales; Arecaceae. The record is from RNAcentral.